RNAcentral lists this ribosomal RNA (253 nucleotides) under uncultured bacterium. RNAcentral describes it as "partial 16S ribosomal RNA". It matches the Rfam family "Bacterial small subunit ribosomal RNA", at positions 524 to 776 of the family's 1533-position model. The record is from RNAcentral.
UACAGAGGGGGCAAGCGUUGUUCGGAAUUACUGGGCGUAAAGGGCGCGUAGGCGGCCCGCUAAGUCGAACGUGAAAUCCCCGAGCUCAACUCGGGAACUGCGUCCGAUACUGGCGGGCUUGAAUCCGGGAGAGGGAUGCGAAAUUCCAGGUGUAGCGGUGAAAUGCGUAGAUAUCUGGAGGAACACCGGUGGCGAAGGCGGCAUCCUGGACCGGCAUUGACGCUGAGGCGCGAAAGCUAGGGGAGCAAACAGG